RNAcentral lists this unclassified non-coding RNA (253 nucleotides) under uncultured Acidobacteriota bacterium. Its description in RNAcentral is "uncultured Acidobacteria bacterium contains 16S-23S intergenic spacer region". It matches the Rfam family "Bacterial small subunit ribosomal RNA", at positions 524 to 776 of the family's 1533-position model. Lineage: Bacteria; Pseudomonadati; Acidobacteriota. The record is from RNAcentral.
UACGGAGGGGGCAAGCGUUAUUCGGAUUUACUGGGCGUAAAGCGCACGUAGGUGGCAUGGUAAGUCAAAGGUGAAAGCCCUCGGCUCAACCGAGGAAUUGCCUUUGAAACUGCUUUGCUUGAGUCCGGGAGGGGGGAGCGGAAUUCCCAGUGUAGCGGUGAAAUGCGUAGAUACUGGGAGGAACACCGGUGGCGAAGGCGGCUCCCUGGACCGGUACUGACACUGAGGUGCGAAAGCGUGGGUAGCAAACAGG